This 924-nucleotide long non-coding RNA is filed under the name Elaeis guineensis (African oil palm). RNAcentral's name for it is "long non-coding RNA (EGUI_LNC076587)". Lineage: Eukaryota; Viridiplantae; Streptophyta; Magnoliopsida; Arecales; Arecaceae. The record is from RNAcentral.
AUCAUGUGUAAGCUAUUGAUUGAGUCACCACAAAUUCUCAUUUUGUUCAAUGUUUCUGCUUUUAACAAUAUUUGAUUUUCUUUUGAUUAUUGCACUAAUUUAAAAUAUCAUAUUUAUCUAAGAGUUUUCAGAGAGAUAUCAGCUUAGCAAGGGGAUGCUACUGUACUGGGUUAUGUUCUCUUGAAGUCUGUUCUCUCUCUAAGGAAAUUAAUAGAUUUUUCGUGGAAAGUGAAGUGUCCUAUGUCAAGUUCAAAAGUUAUCUGAGUUUUGUAUUAAAUAUGAACUAUAGGGUUGAGUCAUUUUAUUUUAUUGUUCUACCUAUGAGUACCAAUUUAUGCUACUGACCGCCUAAAGCGGUGUGUUAAUUAUACACAGGGAAUGCAACUGAUUUGUCAUUCUACUACUACAUCCUUUGAAAGGAAAAGAAUAUUAUUAGAAACAUCAGCAUGAGAAGAUCACUUGAGCAAGACUUUGUUUGGGGGAAAACUGAUGGAGAGUCAAAAUGGAAAAGUGUUUCUUAUAGGGAGCAUGCAAUGGAGGAUGGGUAGGCAAACUCGAACCCCCUGCAUAAGUAUGCAAGAGACUGACCACUGAUUGAUAGGAGGAUUUUCUAAGCUGUGGUCGCAUGAAGAUGCACAGCUUGUCUAAGAACGCUAAAUUGGUUCAGCAAAGAAGUGAGAUAAUAAAAGCUUCACUCAAAAGUGUUUUUUGAUGCUAUAUGAUAAGAUGGUAUUUUGAAUUUGGAAGUUUUUUUUUCGGCAAAGCAAAUAAAGUUAUGCUUGUCAAUCUUUAUCCCUAAACUCUCAUUAGCUUUUGCCUUUUUUAACUUCUCUCUUGCCUGGUAAAAUUUGAAAGGAAGACAAUGUUCCACUUCCAUGAGAGAUUUUAAAAAACCUAGAGGUUAAAAACAGUAUUUCCCAUAAG